Molecule: transfer RNA, 75 nt
Filed under: Vibrio parahaemolyticus
Lineage: Bacteria; Pseudomonadati; Pseudomonadota; Gammaproteobacteria; Vibrionales; Vibrionaceae
Also listed under: 5 other names
Description: tRNA-Thr
Rfam family: tRNA
About the family: Transfer RNA (tRNA) molecules are approximately 80 nucleotides in length. Their secondary structure includes four short double-helical elements and three loops (D, anti-codon, and T loops).
Source: RNAcentral
GCCCAGGUAGCUCAGGGGUAGAGCAACGCACUCGUAAUGCGUAGGUCGUGAGUUCGAUUCUCAUCUUGGGCUCCA